RNAcentral lists this ribosomal RNA (247 nucleotides) under uncultured bacterium. Its description in RNAcentral is "partial 16S ribosomal RNA". It matches the Rfam family "Bacterial small subunit ribosomal RNA", at positions 1254 to 1500 of the family's 1533-position model. The record is from RNAcentral.
GCAGUGAUGUGGAGCUAAACUGAAAAAAGUAAGUCUCAGUUCGGAUUGAAGGCUGAAAUUCGCCUUCAUGAAGCCGGAAUUGCUAGUAAUGGCAGGUCAGCAUACUGCCGUGAAUACGUUCCCGGGCCUUGUACACACCGCCCGUCACACCAUGAGAGUUGGGAAUACCCGAAGCCUGUGAGCUAACUAUACGAGGCAGCAGUCGAAGGUAGAAUCAAUGAUUGGGGUGAAGUCGUAACAAGGUAAC